RNAcentral lists this ribosomal RNA (448 nucleotides) under uncultured bacterium. RNAcentral describes it as "bacterial SSU rRNA". It matches the Rfam family "Bacterial small subunit ribosomal RNA", at positions 355 to 796 of the family's 1533-position model. The record is from RNAcentral.
UGGGGAAUCUUGCGCAAUGGGCGAAAGCCUGACGCAGCGACGCCGCGUGAGGGAAGAAGGCCUUCGGGUUGUAAACCUCUUUCAGUAGGGACGAAGCUCCUCGGGUGAAUAGCCCAGAGGGUGACGGUACCUACAGAAGAAGCCCCGGCUAACUACGUGCCAGCAGCCGCGGUAAUACGUAGGGGGCAAGCGUUGUCCGGAUUUAUUGGGCGUAAAGAGCGUGUAGGCGGCUAGGUAGGUCUGCUGUUAAAACUCGAGGCUUAACCUCGAGAGGUCGGUGGAAACCAUCUGGCUAGAGUCCGGAAGAGGAGAGUGGAAUUCCUGGUGUAGCGGUGAAAUGCGCAGAUAUCAGGAAGAACACCCGUGGCGAAGGCGGCUCUCUGGGACGGUACUGACGCUGAGACGCGAAAGCGUGGGGAGCGAACAGGAUUAGAUACCCGUGUAGUCC